RNAcentral lists this ribosomal RNA (484 nucleotides) under uncultured bacterium. RNAcentral describes it as "partial 16S ribosomal RNA". It matches the Rfam family "Bacterial small subunit ribosomal RNA", at positions 30 to 507 of the family's 1533-position model. The record is from RNAcentral.
AUUGAACGCUGGCGGCAGGCCUAACACAUGCAAGUCGAGCGGAUGAAGGGAGCUUGCUCCUGGAUUCAGCGGCGGACGGGUGAGUAAUGCCUAGGAAUCUGCCUGGUAGUGGGGGAUAACGUCCGGAAACGGGCGCUAAUACCGCAUACGUCCUGAGGGAGAAAGUGGGGGAUCUUCGGACCUCACGCUAUCAGAUGAGCCUAGGUCGGAUUAGCUAGUUGGUGGGGUAAAGGCCUACCAAGGCGACGAUCCGUAACUGGUCUGAGAGGAUGAUCAGUCACACUGGAACUGAGACACGGGCCAGACUCCUACGGGAGGCAGCAGUGGGGAAUAUUGGACAAUGGGCGAAAGCCUGAUCCAGCCAUGCCGCGUGUGUGAAGAAGGUCUUCGGAUUUUAAAGCACUUUAAGUUGGGAGGAAGGGCAGUAAGUUAAUACCUUGCUGUUUUGACGUUACCAACAGAAUAAGCACCGGCUAACUUCGUG